This 568-nucleotide long non-coding RNA is filed under the name Carica papaya (papaya). RNAcentral describes it as "long non-coding RNA (CPAP_LNC003645)". Lineage: Eukaryota; Viridiplantae; Streptophyta; Magnoliopsida; Brassicales; Caricaceae. The record is from RNAcentral.
AAAUGUCCCAUGUGUUUCCAUCUAAAACAUAUGGGAAAAUUUAAAAAAAAUAUGUGAAAAAUGUGGAGGUGGAGUCCAAGAAGUACUCAAGCAGAAAAAAAGUUCAGCCAAGUUGUGAGUUAAGGGCGCGGGUAGACCCGAAAAAGACUGUAGGUUGCAUGGAGUAGGCCUGCAUACUGGCCUCUGUGUUGGGCGUUGGGUCGUUGGGCAUGUGCCUGGGUCGGCUGCAGGCUAGACAUGUGACAGGUCAGUUAGGCCUGGGCACAUACAGGUUGCCUGCGAGCGAGACCUGCUAGCCACGCUAGUGGGCACUACGAAGUGUCUAUGCGCACAACCUUUACCAGUGCGCAUGCUGUACAAGCACUUAUGCAUCUGUGGGGCACGCAGACUUGUUUUCUCGCACACUCGUCACACCCUUGUCAUGCGGAGAGUGUUCCCACGUGUGCGAGUGGGCUUUCAUGCGUGUGGGAACCGUCACACAUGUGCCAAAUGUAGGCCACGUAUGUCACACGUGUCUUUCACUAAUUUUUCUUACGUUGGACCAUUUCUUGGGCCUUACUAGUGAUAU